Molecule: long non-coding RNA, 1356 nt
Organism: Plodia interpunctella (Indianmeal moth)
Lineage: Eukaryota; Metazoa; Arthropoda; Insecta; Lepidoptera; Pyralidae
Exons: 3
Source: RefSeq, a predicted model, not a curated record
CAAGCAUAUGACUGACGAUGCUCACUGUCUUUUUUCUCUGUAAAUUGAAUAAGAAAAUCACGUUCGAAGACGUACAACUUUUUAACAAAUUACCCGCAGACAUAAAAAAUUUAAACCCAUUUAACGCAUUCAAAGUAAAACUUGCACAGUACAUUGUCGAACAUUAACUCCGGCGUAGACUUAUCUUUGUGAACAGAAAAAAGCGAGUGAAUGUGUUAAAUGUGUAAUGUGUCUAACUAUGCGAGAGACAUUAAUAUUAAUAUAAUCAUGUAAUAGAUAAGGAUUAUGUACAACGGGCAAUUAGUGUUAUAGUUGGCCAAUGUGUGUGGUUCGUAUUUCGCUUUCUGAUCUUGCUGAUGACAUUGGAGCCUUGCUACCAUACCAUCGAAGAGGUCAUCCAUUAUUGAUUAAUUACUAUUAAUUCACUGAACUGUUUCAUUUUAGGAGUAGUGUUUCCAACUAGUAAAAACCAGCUUGCAAAUCAAAUAAUAAUAGUACAUAAUGAAUAAUAAAUAUUUUUUCAUCCGUCAUCCCAAAGGAAUGGUAAUAGUGUGCGUGGAGUUUGGCACCCGACCGUACAUCCAAGAAGCCAUAUCAUUUAGAGAUUUUGUAUGGAUACAAAGUCAACUUAAGCGAUGUUGACUUUAGCUCCAUGAAUGCCUCCAAAGAUCGGGUCCUAAUGGGUCAAGCAUAUGUAAAGAACUUUCUUAAAGUGCAAGCUCUCAUGUUAUCGUUUUCUCGAAUAUCACAAUUGAGCGUCGGAGCUCAUAAUCCGUUUUACUACUUUGUACACCACUUCGAUAUUCUUAAUUUUAAAACCAUUGGCACGCAUAUCGUCCUUGACGACCUGAAAUCAGCAUUUAUUAUAUUUCAACCUUCUGUCAGCCGCACGUCUACUAAAUUCAUCUUGGAGAACCACUGAUGUACCUUUUUGUACUUUUAUGUUCACUUCAAUCCAUGAUUUUUUGAAAAAUUGUUCUUCUUUUAGAACCAAACAUGUGUCUAGAUCUAAUAAGGGUGAUAAAUUUUGUUCUCUACGAAUUUGCUGAUUUUCCGUAUGAAUGAAGAAUGAAUAUUCUUACAGUGCAUUAACACCGAAAUUAUAGUGAGUCACAUGAUGAAAGAGUGCCCAAGUCAGGGCGCGCUGGUCAGCCGUCUGAAGGUGUUCUCCCUUCAAUUGAAGAUGCAACACGUUGGAUAUAAACCCAUGGGUUUCUUCACUUUAAACAGGACUUUUUUAGCAUCCACAUUGGGAAUAAUGACCACCUACCUGGUGAUACUGCUGCAGUUCCAGAAUUCCCACUCACGUUGAAAUAAAAUGAAAUGUCCAUGUAAACGUGUUAUAUAUUAAUCGAC